CAGAGUUGCGAAACUCCCUAAACCAUUUGUGAACCUACCCCCAAAACAGUUGCUUCGGCGGCGCCCUAGCCGGCCCGCCGGAGACCGCCAAACGCUUUGUUUUUACACUGGCCUCUCUGAGUUAUUGUACUGUAAUAAGUCA
RNAcentral lists this unclassified non-coding RNA (142 nucleotides) under uncultured fungus. RNAcentral describes it as "sequence contains ITS1, 5.8S rRNA gene". The record is from RNAcentral. Lineage: Eukaryota; Fungi.